This is a non-coding RNA of Podarcis lilfordi (Lilford's wall lizard), 97 nucleotides long. Lineage: Eukaryota; Metazoa; Chordata; Lepidosauria; Squamata; Lacertidae. The record is from the annotation of a GenBank genome assembly.
CUGGCAGUUCCAAGCUCUGAGAACUGGUUUUCAUGGACUGGUUCCAGUUCAGUAUGUUCAGUCCAUAAUGCUCAGUUCUCUAGCUCGGCUGCAUCUG